GACGAACGCUGGCGGCGUGCUUAACACAUGCAAGUCGUACGGUAAGGCCCUUUCGGGGGUACACGAGUGGCGAACGGGUGAGUAACACGUGAGUAACCUGCCCACAACUUUGGGAUAACGCUAGGAAACUGGUGCUAAUACUGGAUAUGUGCUCCUGCUGCAUGGUGGGGGUUGGAAAGCUCCGGCGGUUGUGGAUGGACUCGCGGCCUAUCAGCUUGUUGGUGGGGUAGUGGCCUACCAAGGCGGCGACGGGUAGCCGGCCUGAGAGGGUGACCGGCCACAUUGGGACUGAGGUACGGCCCAGACUCCGACGGGAGGCAGCAGUGGGGAAUAUUGCACGAUGGGCGCAAGCCUGAUGCAGCAACGCCGCGGGCGGGAUGACGGCCUUCGGGUUGAAAACCGCUUUCAGCAGGGACGAAGCUUUUUGUGACGGUACCUGCAGAAGAAGCACCGGCUAACUACGUG
RNAcentral lists this ribosomal RNA (465 nucleotides) under uncultured bacterium. RNAcentral's name for it is "partial 16S ribosomal RNA". It matches the Rfam family "Bacterial small subunit ribosomal RNA", at positions 28 to 507 of the family's 1533-position model. The record is from RNAcentral.